This 76-nucleotide transfer RNA is filed under the name Clostridiaceae bacterium. RNAcentral's name for it is "tRNA-Trp". It matches the Rfam family "tRNA". From Rfam's summary of the family: Transfer RNA (tRNA) molecules are approximately 80 nucleotides in length. Their secondary structure includes four short double-helical elements and three loops (D, anti-codon, and T loops). Lineage: Bacteria; Bacillati; Bacillota; Clostridia; Eubacteriales; Clostridiaceae. The record is from RNAcentral.
AGGGGAGUAGCUCAGUUGGUAGAGCAACGGUCUCCAAAACCGUGGGCCGCGGGUUCGAUCCCUGUCUCCCCUGCCA